RNAcentral lists this ribosomal RNA (373 nucleotides) under uncultured organism. RNAcentral describes it as "partial 16S ribosomal RNA". It matches the Rfam family "Bacterial small subunit ribosomal RNA", at positions 527 to 896 of the family's 1533-position model. The record is from RNAcentral.
GUAGGUGGCAAGCGUUGUCCGGAAUUAUUGGGCGUAAAGCGCGCGCAGGCGGGUCCUUUAAGUCUGAUGUGAAAGCCCACGGGCUCAACCGUGGAGGGUCAUUGGAAACUGGGGGACUUGAGUACAGAAGAGGAAAGCGGAAUUCCAAGUGUAGCGGUGAAAUGCGUAGAGAUUUGGAGGAACACCAGUGGCAAGGCGGCUUUCUGGUCUGUAACUGACGCUGAGGCGCGAAAGCGUGGGGAGCAAACAGGAUUAGAUACCCUGGUAGUCCACGCCGUAAACGAUGAGUGCUAAGUGUUAGGGGGUUUCCGCCCCUUAGUGCUGCAGCUAACGCAUUAAGCACUCCGCCUGGGGAGUACGGCCGCAAAGGCUG